AUUGAACGCUGGCGGCAUGCCUUACACAUGCAAGUCGAACGGCAGCAUAGGAGCUUGCUCCUGAUGGCGAGUGGCGAACGGGUGAGUAAUAUAUCGGAACGUGCCCUAGAGUGGGGGAUAACUAGUCGAAAGACUAGCUAAUACCGCAUACGAUCUACGGAUGAAAGUGGGGGAUCGCAAGACCUCAUGCUCCUGGAGCGGCCGAUAUCUGAUUAGCUAGUUGGUGGGGUAAAAGCCUACCAAGGCAACGAUCAGUAGCUGGUCUGAGAGGACGACCAGCCACACUGGGACUGAGACACGGCCCAGACUCCUACGGGAGGCAGCAGUGGGGAAUUUUGGACAAUGGGGGCAACCCUGAUCCAGCAAUGCCGCGUGAGUGAAGAAGGCCUUCGGGUUGUAAAGCUCUUUUGUCAGGGAAGAAACGGUAGUAGCGAAUAACUACUACUAAUGACGGUACCUGAAGAAUAAGCACCGGCUAACUACGUGCCAGCCGCCGCGGUAA
This 502-nucleotide ribosomal RNA is filed under the name uncultured bacterium. Its description in RNAcentral is "partial 16S ribosomal RNA". It matches the Rfam family "Bacterial small subunit ribosomal RNA", at positions 30 to 523 of the family's 1533-position model. The record is from RNAcentral.